This 429-nucleotide ribosomal RNA is filed under the name Escherichia coli. RNAcentral describes it as "bacterial SSU rRNA". It matches the Rfam family "Bacterial small subunit ribosomal RNA", at positions 283 to 704 of the family's 1533-position model. Lineage: Bacteria; Pseudomonadati; Pseudomonadota; Gammaproteobacteria; Enterobacterales; Enterobacteriaceae. The record is from RNAcentral.
CUAGCUGGUCUGAGAGGAUGACCAGCCACACUGGAACUGAGACACGGUCCAGACUCCUACGGGAGGCAGCAGUGGGGAAUAUUGCACAAUGGGCGCAAGCCUGAUGCAGCCAUGCCGCGUGUAUGAAGAAGGCCUUCGGGUUGUAAAGUACUUUCAGCGGGGAGGAAGGGAGUAAAGUUAAUACCUUUGCUCAUUGACGUUACCCGCAGAAGAAGCACCGGCUAACUCCGUGCCAGCAGCCGCGGUAAUACGGAGGGUGCAAGCGUUAAUCGGAAUUACUGGGCGUAAAGCGCACGCAGGCGGUUUGUUAAGUCAGAUGUGAAAUCCCCGGGCUCAACCUGGGAACUGCAUCUGAUACUGGCAAGCUUGAGUCUCGUAGAGGGGGGUAGAAUUCCAGGUGUAGCGGUGAAAUGCGUAGAGAUCUGGAGG